GCCCAUGUAGCUCAGUUGGUAGAGCAAUACUUUCGUAAAGUAUAGGCCGUCAGUUCGAAUCUGACCUUGGGCU
RNAcentral lists this transfer RNA (73 nucleotides) under Patescibacteria group bacterium. RNAcentral's name for it is "tRNA-Thr". It matches the Rfam family "tRNA". From Rfam's summary of the family: Transfer RNA (tRNA) molecules are approximately 80 nucleotides in length. Their secondary structure includes four short double-helical elements and three loops (D, anti-codon, and T loops). Further hydrogen bonds mediate the characteristic L-shaped molecular structure. tRNAs have two regions of fundamental functional importance: the anti-codon, which is responsible for specific mRNA codon recognition, and the 3' end, to which the tRNAs corresponding amino acid is attached (by aminoacyl-tRNA synthetases). tRNAs cope with the degeneracy of the genetic code in two manners: having more than one tRNA (with a specific anti-codon) for a particular amino acid; and 'wobble' base-pairing, i.e. permitting non-standard base-pairing at the 3rd anti-codon position. The record is from RNAcentral.